AGAGUUUGAUCCUGGCUCAGAAUCAACGCUGGCGGCGUGCCUCAGACAUGCAAGUCGAACGCGAAAGUUCCCUUCGGGGAGCGAGUAGAGUGGCGUCCGGGUGAGUAACACGUAGGUAAUCUACCUUUGGGUGGGGAAUAACAACCGGAAACGGUUGCUAAUACCGCAUAAUGCAGCGGCACCACAUGGUGACAGUUGUUAAAGCGGGGGAUCGUAAGACCUCGCGCCUAAAGAGGAGCCUGCGGCGGAUUAGCUAGUUGGUAGGGUAACGGCCUACCAAGGCGACGAUCCGUAGCCGGCCUGAGAGGGCGGUCGGCCACACUGACACUGAAAUACGGGUCAGACUCCUACGGGAGGCAGCAGUCGGGAAUUUUGGGCAAUGGGCGAAAGCCUGACCCAGCAACGCCACGUGAAGGAUGAAAUCCCUCGGGAUGUAAACUUCGCAAGAACGGGAAGAAUAAGUAGGGGACAAUACCCCCUAUGAUGACGGUACCGUUUGUAAGCUCCGGCUAACUCCGUGCCAGCAGCCGCGGUAAUACGGGGGGAGCAAGCGUUGUUCGGAUUUACUGGGCGUAAAGGGCGCGUANGCGGCCUGUGCAAGUCAGUUGUGAAAUCUCCGGGCUUNACUCGGAACGGUCAACUGAUACUGCUCGGCUANAGUGCGGAAGGGGCAACUGGA
This 679-nucleotide ribosomal RNA is filed under the name uncultured bacterium. RNAcentral's name for it is "bacterial SSU rRNA". It matches the Rfam family "Bacterial small subunit ribosomal RNA", at positions 8 to 665 of the family's 1533-position model. The record is from RNAcentral.